RNAcentral lists this ribosomal RNA (534 nucleotides) under Paraclostridium bifermentans. RNAcentral describes it as "bacterial SSU rRNA". It matches the Rfam family "Bacterial small subunit ribosomal RNA", at positions 916 to 1448 of the family's 1533-position model. Lineage: Bacteria; Bacillati; Bacillota; Clostridia; Peptostreptococcales; Peptostreptococcaceae. The record is from RNAcentral.
GGGACCCGCACAAGUAGCGGAGCAUGUGGUUUAAUUCGAAGCAACGCGAAGAACCUUACCUAAGCUUGACAUCCCACUGACCUCUCCCUAAUCGGAGAUUUCCCUUCGGGGACAGUGGUGACAGGUGGUGCAUGGUUGUCGUCAGCUCGUGUCGUGAGAUGUUGGGUUAAGUCCCGCAACGAGCGCAACCCUUGCCUUUAGUUGCCAGCAUUAAGUUGGGCACUCUAGAGGGACUGCCGAGGAUAACUCGGAGGAAGGUGGGGAUGACGUCAAAUCAUCAUGCCCCUUAUGCUUAGGGCUACACACGUGCUACAAUGGGUGGUACAGAGGGUUGCCAAGCCGCGAGGUGGAGCUAAUCCCUUAAAGCCAUUCUCAGUUCGGAUUGUAGGCUGAAACUCGCCUACAUGAAGCUGGAGUUACUAGUAAUCGCAGAUCAGAAUGCUGCGGUGAAUGCGUUCCCGGGUCUUGUACACACCGCCCGUCACACCAUGGAAGUUGGGGGCGCCCGAAGCCGGUUAGCUAACCUUUUAGGAA